Molecule: ribosomal RNA, 486 nt
Filed under: uncultured bacterium
Lineage: Bacteria
Description: partial 16S ribosomal RNA
Rfam family: Bacterial small subunit ribosomal RNA
Source: RNAcentral
GAUGAACGCUGGCGGCGUGCCUAAUACAUGCAAGUCGAACGCUGGAAAUCUAGCUUGCUCGAUUGAAGGAGUGGCGAACGGGUGAGUAAUACAUAAGCAACCUACCCACGAAGACUGGGAUAAUCUCUGGAAACGGGGACUAAUACCGGAUAGGUAAUCGGAAGGCAUCUUCUGAUUAUUAAAGGUUAAAACCACUGGUGGAUGGGCUUAUGGCGCAUUAGUUAGUUGGUGAGGUAACGGCCCACCAAGACGAUGAUGCGUAGCCGGCCUGAGAGGGUGAACGGCCACAUUGGGACUGAGACACGGCCCAGACUCCUACGGGAGGCAGCAGUAGGGAAUUUUCGGCAAUGGGGGAAACCCUGACCGAGCAACGCCGCGUGAGUGAUGACGGCCUUCGGGUUGUAAAGCUCUGUUGUAAGGGAAGAACGGUAGAUAGAGAAUAUCUAAAUGACGGUACCUUACCAGAAAGCCACGGCUAACUACGUG